CCUACGGGACGCAGCAGUGAGGAAUAUUGGUCAAUGGGCGGGAGCCUGAACCAGCCAAGUCGCGUGAGGGAAGACGGCCCUAUGGAUUGUAAACCUCUUUAGGCGGGGAGCAAUGCCGGGCACGCGUGCCCGGCGGGAGAGUACCCGCAGAAAAAGCAUCGGCUAACUCCGUGCCAGCAGCCGCGGUAAUACGGAGGAUGCGAGCGUUAUCCGGAUUUAUUGGGUUUAAAGGGUGCGUAGGCGGGUUUUUAAGUCAGCGGUAAAAAUUCGGGGCUCAACCCGGUCCGGCCGUUGAAACUGGGGGC
RNAcentral lists this ribosomal RNA (305 nucleotides) under uncultured bacterium. RNAcentral's name for it is "bacterial SSU rRNA". It matches the Rfam family "Bacterial small subunit ribosomal RNA", at positions 338 to 640 of the family's 1533-position model. The record is from RNAcentral.